UAAAGGAAUUGGCGGGGGAGCACUACAAGGGGUGGAGCGUGCGGUUUAAUUGGAUUCAACGCCGGGAACCUCACCGGGGGCGACGGCAGGAUGAAGGCCAGGCUGAAGGUCUUGCCGGACACGCCGAGAGGAGGUGCAUGGCCGCCGUCAGCUCGUACCGUGAGGCGUCCAUUUAAGUGUGGUAACGAGCGAGACCCGCGCCCCCAGUUGCCAGUCCUCCCCGCUGGGGAGGAGGCACUCUGGGGGGACCGCCGGCGAUAAGCCGGAGGAAGGAGCGGGCGACGGUAGGUCAGUAUGCCCCGAAACCCCCGGGCUACACGCGCGCUACAAUGGGCGGGACAAUGGGAUCCGACCCCGAAAGGGGAAGGGAAUCCCCUAAACCCGCCCUCAGUUCGGAUCGCGGGCNGCAACUCGCCCGCGUGAAGCUGGAAUCCCUAGUACCCGCGUGUCAUCAUCGCGCGGCGAAUACGUCCCUGCUCCUUGCACACACCGCCA
RNAcentral lists this ribosomal RNA (495 nucleotides) under uncultured archaeon. RNAcentral's name for it is "bacterial SSU rRNA". It matches the Rfam family "Archaeal small subunit ribosomal RNA", at positions 857 to 1351 of the family's 1478-position model. The record is from RNAcentral.